UUUAAAACUGACAGCAGAGAAACCGGAGAAUAAUGAAUUUAGCAGCACAAGGAACCUCUCAAAACGAAGGCUGAGGAAGGAAGGGGCUGGCUGAAAUAUAGUUAAGUGCUAAGUGCUUUGUGGGCCUUUUCAAUUCUGGAAAUGUAUGGGCUUUAAUUCUGGGAAUUAAAAAUGUAGUUACACCAGCCAAACCAUCGAUGAAAUAAGAGAACAGAAUGAGAGCAUUUUUAAUCAUGCUUGGUAAGUUACUGCAAGAUGCGUUUUGCCAAAAUGCGGAGGUAGAGAAAAAGGAAAACAAAGGAAACAAGAAUGGGAGAUCCAAACGCCAAGAGUGACAAAGCGGAGCCCCCAGUACGGAGGUGAAGGAAGACUCCAGGGAGACAGCUAUGUGCCAUAUGGGGGGCCACCAGUCUAGAGUAGGCAACCAGUCCAGAAGUCCCCAGGGGGGAGGCUUCUUCAGGGUGAUGAAAUCAAUGGAAUUCUGGUGCAUCUGAGUGUCUUAAAGGGAAUUUAAACACUUGGUGAAGGCCUUGAGGUUGAAUUCUAAUAAGCACCUAGGAAACCAGGCUUAUAACAAAAAUACAAGACAAUUAUUAACUCCUGGGGGAACACUGUCAAGGGGAAAAAAAAAAGGCAAUCAUACUUUACAAAAGGGCUCAGCUGUGACUAGCGUUUACAUAGCCGUAAUAAUGUAAACACUAAAUACUGACCUCAUCAAAAUUAUGAAAUAACUAUAUUGAGAGAGGAGGGAAGGAUUUCCAUGGUCAGAAUUUAAGAGAAUUCUUAGAAAUGUACUGAAAUAAUCAGCUAAAAGAGGUGGGAUGAUUGCUUCUGGGAGGGGAAAUGAGGUAGAAAAUAAAAGACUACUGUAUUUUGUGGCCAACUUUGUAAAAUCCUUUCAUUUCUAAACUGCAUUAUGUUAUUACUGUGAUCUUAGAGAUUAAUAUGCUGUGCUGAGAAAUGAGAUAAUUAGCCAACCAUUCAUUCAGUAAGCAUUUAAUGUGUACCUAUAGUAUGCAAAUCCUUGGGGAUAGGGGGAGGGGGGGACCCAGUCCCUGUCCUCCCUCACAGUCCAGUGGGUUUCUCAACACAGCUGGUGGGAGGUGAGGGAGGAUUUCAAACUCUUCUCUAGUGAGGCGCUAAUAAGGUGAACAGAUGCUGGGCAUCUGUUGUCUUGAAUUUCAAGGUUCGUGGCUAGUGGCAGGGGUCCCCCUUGCAAGGUUGCUGUGGGCUUAGCCUCAAGGCAUGCUGGGACCUGAGCAGAUGUGGCAGACAACUCCUGAAGUAACAACGGGCAGCUGGCAAGGUGGGAGAGAUGUAUCUAACACACUAGAGGGACCUGGCUUGUUUCAGGCAUGAGGGUCACUGUUGGGGCUGCUUUGCUUGUGUGACCUCACUCAACCCUCACAAUAAGCUUGCGGAGGUGGCUAUCAUCGUCUCCACUUUCUAGACUGGAGCCCAGAUAGGUUAUGAGACGUGCCUAAGGUCACACAGUUUGUAAGUUACAGGGCUAAAAUUCAAACCCAAAUCUUAAAUCCAUGCCCUUCGGCUUCAGCCUGGGAUUUCCCCCAACUGUUAGAUUAAGAGUUACAAGACCUGGGUUUAGUUUCUGCUCUCCCAUUCAUCGGCGGUGUGAUCUCAGGCAAGUUGCUUCCCUUCUCAGUGUCUGUUCCAGGCGUGGAAAAUGGAGGGCGUUGGUCCUUUGUACUUUGGCACUACAUGCUACGAUGGAAGAAGCCAACAGGAAAAGGAAACAUAGGAAUGCGGCGCAGAGUGGCUCUACAGCAGGACACGACAUGAAAAGGUCCACCGACAUCCAGAGAGCAGCAAGAUGUAGCGUGUCCAGCUCUCCAUCUACAUUUUUAGAAACCAGUUCAAUGGCUCCUACCCUUCCCUGCUUACUUCAGAGAUGACAAGAAAGGCAGGCAGGAAGAGAGUGAUCUGGGGAAAAAAAAAAAAAAGGUAAGUGUUUUCCUCCAAAGGUUCUCAUGUUGCUUAUUAAAGUCGGCUCCAUCAAGGUCAUUCACUCUUUACAUUCUAAAUGGCUCCCUGUUUUCCGUUACACACCUGCCCACACUGUUUCAGAGCAAAGGGACCUCUCAGCUAGUAACUGUGACUCUCACAACUCGAUUACCAAGGAAGAAGCCCGGAGUUAUCUAGCAGGGGAAAGGGUCCUAGCAAAUUAUAGCGUUUUUACCUCUGAAAUUUGCUCUAUAAGAGGUGAGAGCAGAUAAAAACAAACUCCCAGAGAAGGGCUGGAGAAAGGUGGAAAUGCUGAAUGCAAUGUGAACAAAGGGGGCUGGGAAAAGGCUGCACAGGGCAGCGCUUAGGAACCCUGGCUUAGAAUCUGAAAGAGUUGGGACUGUGCAAGCUGGUGUGUGUGACCUUGGAGAAAUUACCUAACCACCCCCUGUGAUAAAGGAAUGUUUCCUCCUCUGAAAACUGGUGAUAACAAUAGCGUCUUCUCUCCAGGGUUGUUAUGAGGCUUCGAUGAGAUAAUAAAAGUGAAGGGCACAGUAUUGAGGACUGGAGCUAUUAUUAUUCACCAGCCCACCUGUCUUUGCACAUCAUUUUGCACUGACAGUAUCUGACAACAUUUACGGAGCACUCACUAGGACUAGGCACUGUGAUGAACUCUGGGUUUCAGGGGAGAAUUAAGCCAAGUCUUAGACUAUGUUAACAAAUACAUCAACAAUAUAACAAAUGUAUUAACAAAUUAUAUUAACAACUGCAUUGGGAGUAUCAGCACUCUUUCACAGAUUACAAGGACUGAAACAGAAAAUGCCUGCCUUGCAGCGUUUAGUAUAGUUCCUGACCUAGACAAAGAACUCUCACAAAAGCGGAUGCUGACAUCAAGGGCAAGUUCUGUUUGCCUUGGCGACAAGCGGGAGGGUGACAGAGUUAACCUGAAUUUUUUGUUGUUGUUGUUUUUUUUACCACCCCUGUGUCACCACAUCCUUCACUACUAGCUUUCACGUCCCUGGCGAACCCCUAGCCUCCACCAGGGACUUGGCUCUUCUACAACUCUAGAAAGACCCAGGUGCUCAAGAGCUUGAAGGUUAAGAUGACGAAAAUAGAGAAAACCGGUCGACCUAGCCCUUACCCCUGCGAGGACUGGCAACCGGAAGGAAUCCUGCUCAGGCUGUGGGUACUGGUAGUGCUAUUUCCCAAUCUAGAUGACGGGUUACAUGGACGCAUUCACGCUGAGAAGAUUCAACUUGUACAAAUAAGAUUUGUGUACUUUUCUGUACAAAUGUUACAAUAAAAAAAUUUAAAAAUAGUGACCACCCUUCUCCAACAUCCAAAGCACAGAGCAGCCCUUCCUGCUGGGCAUGCCACACCUGGGUCGUGAGCACACCAGGUCUGUCACCUGUGGCAGUUAGCAGCCUCCUCAGUUUACCCACCAGGGAGCUGUAGAAAUACCAGCAUUUUUUUCCCCUUUGGGAAAACUGGGAAGCAGUGCUCUAGAGUACCAAAUGGCAGCAUCUUCUUCAAUCAUACGAGUCUACCUUAAGGUUUUUCCUAUCUAAGGUCAAUUGCAUUGACUCAACUUUCCAUGAAAUUGUUUUAUCAUCUCCAACAAGGAGAGUAUAUCACAUUGAUGGGUCAACACCUCUAGACUGCUCUUUACAAAACUGAGAGCCUAUCUUUGACAUCACUCCGUAUCUUCCUCUUCACAACGAGCAAGUAUCUAGUAUAUCCCUCCCUCUCUCCCAAUUUCCUUCUCCCACAAACGCUGGAGGGAAAACCUAAAAUAAAUUUCAAUCAUUUAUCAAGUCAAUGGAUAUAACACAGACUACAUGCUGGUUUUCUCUUUGAAAGUUUAUUGUUAUUUAAAAAAAAAAAAACAACCCUAUAACUUUUUACAUUUUACAUUCACCUCUCAGAACAUUUAAUGGUACCAGUUAAUGAGAAUAUAUAAAAAGCCCACCAGCUGCUUCAAAUGGCUGCAAAUAUUUUACCAUGUUCUGGUAUUAAAGUGGUUUGAACUCUUUGGAAAAAAUGGCAUAACAUUAAGUACCAAGAUUUCAAAUUCCCAAAUUAGAAACAAGAUUUUUAAGUCAGGAGGAAAUUUAGUAAAAAUUCAAGGAUAAAAGGAAA
Molecule: long non-coding RNA, 4101 nt
Organism: Acinonyx jubatus (cheetah)
Lineage: Eukaryota; Metazoa; Chordata; Mammalia; Carnivora; Felidae
Exons: 2
Source: RefSeq, a predicted model, not a curated record